This 72-nucleotide transfer RNA is filed under the name Candidatus Harrisonbacteria bacterium CG10_big_fil_rev_8_21_14_0_10_45_28. Its description in RNAcentral is "tRNA-Gln". It matches the Rfam family "tRNA". From Rfam's summary of the family: Transfer RNA (tRNA) molecules are approximately 80 nucleotides in length. The record is from RNAcentral. Lineage: Bacteria; Candidatus Harrisoniibacteriota.
UGUCGGGUGGUGUAAUCGGUAACACGGGGGAUUUUGGAUCCCUUAUCCCAGGUUCGAGCCCUGGCCCGACAA